ACGGGGUGCAGCAGGCGCGAAAACUUUACAAUGCGGGAAACCGUGAUAAGGGGAUCUCGAGUGCCAGCAUAUAAUGUUGGCUGUCCAGAUGCCUAAAAAGCAUCUGUUAGCAAGGGCCGGGCAAGACCGGUGCCAGCCGCCGCGGUAACACCGGCGGCCCGAGUGGUAACCGCUAUUAUUGGGUCUAAAGGGUCUGUAGCCGGCCAGGUAAGUCCCUUGGGAAAUCUGGCAGCUCAACUGUCAGGCUGCUAGGGGAUACUGUUUGGCUUGGGACCGGGAGAGGUGAGAGGUACCUUGGGGGUAGGGGUGAAAUCUUGUGAUCCUCGAGGGACCACCAGUGGCGAAGGCGUCUCGCCAGAACGGGUCCGACGGUAAGGGACGAAAGCUAGGGGCACGAACCGGAUUAGAUACCCGGGUAGUCCUAGCCGUAAACGAUGCUCGCUAGGUGUCAGUCACGGUGCGACCGUGAUUGGUGCCGUAGGGAAGCCGUGAAGCGAGCCACCUGGGAAGUAUGGCCGCAAGGCUGAAACUUAAAGGAAUUGGCGGGGGAGCACUACAACGGGUGGAGCCUGCGGUUUAAUUGGAUUCAACGCCGGAAAUCUCACCGGGGGCGACAGCGAUAUGAAGGUCAGGCUGAAGACUUUACCGGAUUAGCUGAGAGGUGGUGCAUGGCCGUCGUCAGUUCGUACUGUGAAGCAUCCUGUUAAGUCAGGCAACGAGCGAGACCCA
This 729-nucleotide ribosomal RNA is filed under the name unidentified archaeon. RNAcentral describes it as "bacterial SSU rRNA". It matches the Rfam family "Archaeal small subunit ribosomal RNA", at positions 325 to 1054 of the family's 1478-position model. The record is from RNAcentral.